AGUCAGGAGAGACAAGGUGUAUGCUAUAUUUGCAUCUGUUUGCUUGUUCCCAUGGAACACAAUUUUUGGUAAAGGCAAUGGUGACAGUUCUCAGUGCCCUCUGCCUCUUGUGUGUGAGAUAGAAAAUUCUUUUCAACUUUUCCCAGAGUGUUUCCUGUGAGGCAAUGAGCACUGUCAGCCUCCUGUCCCGUGGGAGGGGUUGCUGGUUGUUCUCUUCACUACAAAUACCAGCCAGAAAUGUGUAAGAUGAACAGGGCAGUUGUGUUGCUUAGGAGUUGGACUUGAUAAUCCUCAUGGGUCCCUUCCAAUAGUGGAUAUUCUGCAGUUCUGAGAUGGUGGUUGUGUUUGAGAUACUAAAAUAUUGCUACACAAGAACAAAGUGAUGUGCUUCAAUAGGUGGAUCAUCCUUUUGAAGCUAAAAACACGAUUUCUAAGGCCUCAGGCUUCUGGAGUUAGUGUUCACAGGACAUGGAACGGGAUGGAAGAGGGGUGGUGUAUGAGAAAGGAAAGUCCCUUUCUUUUCUGGGCUCUGAGGACUGAGUUCAUUGAGUCACACGGUGUGCAGUUCCUGUCCUGAUGGCAGCAGUAUGUCAGUGAGCUGUGGGUCUGUGUCAGCAUUUCCCUGAGGUCAGGGAGGCAGGCUGCUGUGGGACCGUUCUAAGGUGUAGUAGCUGGGACAAAUCACACCACGGUUGAUGAGAACUGGCACUUGUGAAGAAUCUGAAGCGUCUCAGAAUGAUGGUUUCCUUUGAGGAGAGAGUGGAUGUAAUCUCCAAAACUCUCUGGCCAAGGAAUUUCAUACACUGCACAUGCUGGUCUUUGCUAUCUCCCUCUUGUUAUGACAUGGAUAGCAGCAGCGUGGGUUUUCCAAGAAAACUCGAAUUGCGUUGAGAAUUCACUACUAAACAGCACAGCUCAACGUGUUGCAUCCCUGCUUUCAGGGUUCUGGUGCCUUACCCUGUGUGACCACCAGGGGCCUCCCUCCACCUAAGAUUUGCAACACCGGAGCUCUAUGAACAGUGCAGCUGAAUGAACGGUGCCUGACAAGGGGCUGGAGCAACCAACCGGCAGGCAACCGGACAAACUGGUGGCUGGAGAGAUAGUUCAAAGAAUCCAUAUUUAUCAUAGGAAGCAAAAAAUAAAGCAGGAGCGGGGGAGCUCGCUUCAUCUCUGCAGACUUCAGGCUUGAGACGGUUGCAAGGCAGUUCACUUCUAAAUCUGUGCUGUGUGUCUUAUGGAGCACAGUGAGAUUAAUGUGACCCUCAGGUGCUUGAUGCCUUUGUGCUGCUCCUUCACCUGGAGAGAAAACAAUUUUUUUCUGCAUGGCUCCAUAGCUGAUUUUUGUCUGUUUCUGUGCUUAAUUACAGAACCAUAGAAUUAUUUGAGUUGGAAGGAAUCCUUAAAGGCCGCCCAGUCCAACUCCCCUGCAGUAAACAGGGACACCCACAGCUACAUCAGGUGCUCAGAGCCCCUCCAGCCUGACUCUGAAUGUGUGCAGGGAUGGUGCACUGAACACCUCUCAGAGCAACCUGUGCCAGUGCCUCAUUACCCUUAAUAUAAAAGACUUCCUUAUAUCCAAUCUAAAUUUCCCCUCUUUUAGUUUGAAACGCUUUUCCCUGGUCCUGUCACAACAGACCCUACUGAAGAGUCUGCCCCCUUCUCUCUCAUAGCCCCCCUUUGGACACAAUGAUAGCAUCAUUCUUUUCUUGUAUUUCAGUGACCGGCAAUGAAGAAAACACCAAAUCCCAAAGCAAUCGUGUGCGUAUAACAUUAAGUGCAACAUAUUUAAAACAAAAUCAGUGGUUAGGGGCUUCCACAUGUAUACGUAUGUUCUGAAGUCUUUUCUUGCAUACAGGAAGACAAAAGAUGAAUCUGCAGGCCUUCAUUCAGUGCUCAGCAUUUGUAAUUGGAUUCUUCUCCCUUGUUCUCACACCAGAGCAACUCUGGACCCAAUGGGAGCCUCACGGGCUCUUCCUCAACUACUGACAAGUGUUUCAGAUAUUAAAUGAAAACCUAUUUCUUGAAGUUCCUUGCUGAAAUUAACCAUGGAACUUCCUCCAAGGCUUUGCGGAGCCCAGGCCUUGAAGAUGCAGUAGAGCUACUUCAUCUUUUGUCCCCUGCUAUGUCUCCCCCAGAGCCAUUACUUAGCUCCAAUAGAUAUUUAUUCUGUGAUCUUACGGAAGAGGUGUGGUUAAUUAUAUUUCACCUUGACAUGCCUCUGUGCUUUCAGCGCUUGCUGGGACCAUAAGGUGGAUGGCUUUCAUCAUGUAGCUGACCUGCUUUCUGGCUCAGCCAAACUGAGUAAGAACUGGAGAAUGUGCGGUGAAAUCCAUGGCAGGCGUAUGUCAGAGCUUUUCUCUUCUGCCCCCUUUUAAUAAGCCCAUAACAUGGAGGUAACAUUUAGACUGACAUUGGUGUUGGAAUAAUUUCUGGGAGCUGAUAUUUUUGAAGCUUGCAUGUGUCAAUAUUUCAGGAAUGGAUAAAUAGAGCAAACUGGAGAAGCCUUAUGAAUAUUUCAUAGUGGCCCUCCUCGCCCAGAAAAACAGAUAUAUAUAUAUUAUAUGUCUUUUUACUCUCUCCACAAUUCUUCCCCUGCUCCUCCACUCCAUCCUUUUCAGUAUUUUAAAUUAGUUCCUUACUGGGAAGGGGGUGAUGGCCUGUUCCUGACUCUAAACCUAAUAGCAGGAUGGGGACCAGGUCUUUCUCUUCUUCAAUUUCUUAUUACUCGUUCUACUGUGAUAACAGUGACGUCUUUUUCUUAACCAUUUAGUAUGAAGCAGCACUUUCUUGGACCGACGAAGGAAGGAGACAAAUGUCAAUGCUUUACUGAUAGUCCUUGGUUUUGCUUACGUUGCCUUGGGUUGAGUGGGACAGGGCAGAUCUCAAUGAGAUUUUGGGCAUUCCACCAACACAAGUAGACAUUUAAAUUAGCUCUGAUCAUUCUUUCUGGGCUUUCACCAAACCUGUGAUGUCUACGUACCCAAAUGAAAAAUAAAUAAAAAGCGAUUGAGACUGUAAAGCUUAGUUCAAUGACCAGUUUCUUUCUACUUCCCCUUGUGUGCCUAAUGCUACUGAAAAUCAGUGCGCCAAGCGGAUGACUUCAGCGCACACCUUUGGAAUCAUUUCCUUUCUUGGGAGCGGGACUGAGAGACAUUAAAAAGGCCAUGAUACAUGUUUCUGAAAAAAGGAAAGUAGCUGAAUGCAUAUAUGACAUACAUUUUUACCAGUAUGGAUUAAUACCCGGGGGCUGUUUGGUUCACAGUGCAUGAGAGCCGUCCCCCCAGGUUGCACACAGGUUUUGGUGUGUUCCCAAGUGUUCCAUCCUUGAUGCCCUUAAUACAAAAUUAAAUGUUUUGUGAAGAGGCCCAGGUGUGUUUGGGUAGCUUUCUACUCCAGGCAGCGAAUUUGUUACACUAACAGAAGUGUUUUUUCACCUGGCAGUAUGUUGCAAUAAUCAGCAUUCUUUGUUUAAGGAUAAACUGAGCCUUCUUUUUUCUCUUUAUAAAUUGUGGAUAGUUUGGGGAAAAGUUUUGGAAUAAAUAAAUGAAAUGUGUUUAAGUAGGUGCUGGAAAAUGUUUCCUUUUCAGAGGGGAAGUUUAUUAUUUUAUGAGUAAUCUUCAGGCAAAGGAAACCGGAGUCCAGGAAAUGGAUUUGCCAGUGGAUUCCUGCAGUUCAUAACCUGCUGCUUCAGAUUUCUUUUGGGCAAGAUAGAUAGUAGAACAAGCACAAACUCUGGUUAAGAUGAGGUGAAUAUGUAGAAAAGAGAAAUAAUUCACAAAGAGUUUGGUAUCCGUUUCCUUUCAGUAUAACUUUGCCUAAGGCAGGGAUGCUCAAAUGUCUGCAUCUUCUUCCAGCUUCAUCCCACUGAGUGCCCCAUGAAUGCAUAUCUUCAAAGAGACGAAACUCAGCUUCUCUGUAUUGACUGAAAAACAAAUAAAUUUUCCCCCUCUGAAGUAUAUCAAGGGUUGCAGUCUUUUGCAGAACCAUAACACAGAGCUAAAAUAUUCCUCUGCAACAAAGCAAGAGGAGAAACACGGGCCCACACUGAAGACUGGACUGAAUUUUCUUCCUGGCCACCUCCAACACAGCGAAUGGCGAGUUGUGAAAAAGAGAACAGCUUAUUAAUAGUCGCCUUUGAUCACUCGUUAUGGAACAGGAGCAUCUGUCUUCAGGCUUUUUGCCAAGCAUCUUACUAGAGGCAACUUUUCUGAUAGCACUCAUGGGACUCAUCUGUUAAAUAAUCACCUAAUGAAGCGAAGAGAAUUUUUAAUACAAAUGAUGUACAUUUACUGUUUCCAUUUUUAGUUCAUACUUUUCAGUGCAUAGUAGUGUAUGAGAGGAAAAUGAACCUAGAUGCCUUUGUAUCUUCCUGCCUCUGGUCUUUAAGUUCACAGGCCCAGUGAGUUCUGUGUCUCCUUUAGUCACAAUGCCAGUGGCUGGCAUCUGAGGACUGCUAAGAUGCUGUUAGAGUGCUACAGAUUCUGGGCACUUCUGUGGGGAAUACAUUUGAUUUCAUGAAAUGAGUUGAGAUGCUUCUGGCUGUAGCUUAGAUAACAGUGCUCCCAGGUCAUUAGGAAAAUGAUCACAUUUACUAGUUACAUGUUAAUAGAGAAAGGAAGAAGUGAGACACAAGGCCUACUUGGCCUUCACAGUUGAAGAGGAUACUGCCUCUUGUACAGUUUGGCUGCUCUGUAUUGAAUUCUAGUCUCACAAACAUCACAUUACAGCAUGGGAAGAGUUUGUAAGUUGCUCCAGCUUCCUUUCGUUCCUUCACAAAGAGUGGGGAAAACCAUCCUGUAAUUAUGUGAUCCAUUUAAGAAGAGCACUCCUGCUACCCAGCUGCUUUUCUCCACUUAGUCACUCUAACCACCAGUUACAGCUUGAGCUGUAACAUCACUCCCCAGGCUGUUGGUGCUUAAUUGGUAACACCCUGUUACAAACAGCCUAGGAAUAAAGGAAACAUUUUUAAGCCAUCUAAUGUGUAACAUGGCAAAAUGUGAUUAAAAUUCAGUGCAUUAUCUCUCUUGGUAUUUUAUUACUGCAGGUGCACAGCGGUGACUGAUCAGAGCAGCACUGUGGGCAACACUGAAAUUAAUUGGAGCUAUGCUAUUCAUACACCUGUGCUCACAGAAGAUUCUGAGUGUAAAUAGAGGGUGCCAAGGAAAAGAGCAAAGGAACUGACUCAGUGCUGACAUAGCUGUAAAUAAAUCACUUUCUUAGGGGAAAUACCACAGAAGGGUACAAACACUUCUAAAACCAACCUGACUGUCAUCCCAGAUCUGCGGAUGUCGGAGAUGCAUGAAGCAUGGUUACAGAUAGAUCACAGCAUCAGAGAGUGACUCAGCUCUCCCUGAGCUCAUUUUAGUAACUGGAUUUAGUGAAUGAGUUCAGUGGAUUCUGCCCUCAGCACUCACCCUUGAGUGUUCCAAGGAAAUGGUAUUCGGUUGUAUUUUCAAGAAUGACUCCAACAGCUGUAGAAAGAUAUAUAUAUAUAUCUUAUAUAUAUAUAUAUAUAUAAAGAUGAAGGAUGUGGUGAGAGAAAGUGGAUAAUUAAUGGGAACUGAGGGAACUUGCUGCAUUUUGGUUGGAUGUGUAACUGUGUCAUGAGUGAUAUUUAAAAACAAAACAAAACAAAAACAUUCUGUAGUAGUGUCAUGAUUCCUGUAGACUCAAGGUGAGAUAAUGUAUGUGUGCUACAUUUUAGCAGUAGACUUCAGGCCCUGGGAGUACUCCCACAGAGUUAAUUAGGUGCUUGAGCUAAUUAAGUGCUUAAAUAGAGCUUGUGCAUGGAAACUAGCAGUACUGCAUGCUGAGUCACAAGUUCUGGAGAUGAGAGGGUCUGAUGUUGAUGAAGUGAGACACAGCAGCUAAGUAGUCAUCUGUUCUGCAUCUAUAGCCUACAAGUGUUAGAUACUGGGAGAAAUUUCUUCUCAGAGGGAGUGGUGAUGCAUUGGCACAGGCUGCCCAGGGAGGUGGUGGAGUCACCGUCCCAGAGGGUGUUCAAGAACCAUGGAGAUGUGGCACAGGGGGACGUGGGCAGUGGGCACAAUGGAGAUGGGUUGGGGUUGGACUUGGACUUGGUGAUCUUAGUGAUCUUUUCUAAUUUUCAUGAUUCUGUGAUUCUAUUAUCUGCAGUUCUUGGAACAGCUUGUUCAUCUCCACGGCUCAAAUGUGGUGAUGUGGUGUACUCACAGCCGGGGGAAAGCAUGGCAGAUUUGGGAAGGGGGUGUGAACAACUUGCUGGAAAAGGAUGCCUGCAGGAGCCACUGUGAGAUGAUGUUGGCUAAUGUGUGAAGGAUGAAAGCAUUGCAAGUGGUCUUGUGGAUCUUUGCCCUUUGUUUAGAGCUUCAGACAUUCAGUGUGUUUUCUUACCUGAUUUUAUGUACCUUUCAUAACAUUUUACCUGUGUGGUUUUCUAGUUAGAGGAAACCAUGGAAGAUAUACCACAUUGGAGUGAUUUUAAUAAAAACUGGAGAGUUGUCUAAUGUUGUAA
Gallus gallus (chicken) is the source of this 6493-nucleotide long non-coding RNA. RefSeq lists it as uncharacterized. NCBI's taxonomy places the organism in Eukaryota, Metazoa, Chordata, Aves, Galliformes, Phasianidae. The record is from RefSeq and is a predicted model, not a curated record. The transcript is spliced from 2 exons.